Lathyrus oleraceus (garden pea) is the source of this 557-nucleotide long non-coding RNA. RefSeq lists it as uncharacterized. The transcript is spliced from 2 exons. NCBI's taxonomy places the organism in Eukaryota, Viridiplantae, Streptophyta, Magnoliopsida, Fabales, Fabaceae. The record is from RefSeq and is a predicted model, not a curated record.
UAGACAUUUAUAAAAAUUUGCAUGUUGUGAAAGACAUUUAGAGGAUGUAUUAAGGAGCUCCAAAACAAUAUGAUAUCGUAAGCCACCUUUCCAUAUUAGAUUCACUACUAGUUAGAACCCAAAAUUGGCCCUACCUAAUGGGCGUAUCAACUUGGCUCUUCUCCACCAUCAACAUCACCCCAGAACACUUCUACAGCCAACGCAGGGAAAUCCAUUUACCAUCUCACAUACAGGAAGUGGCCUAACAACUCUAUCUUUUGAUCUUGCGCCUCGCUGUUUAGCAAUCUCUGGAUGAUCCGGUUCCAUGUAGCAUCGAGCUCUGUACGCUGCCAAAUGAGCAUAGUAUGCUGGAGGUACUACACACGAAACAAAAACUUAUUUUUUGGUAACCAUACCUAAUAAUAGACAAUCCAUUGAUGCAUGUUAACUAGUGAAGUUAGUUGUACAAAAGUUUCAAUGUUUACUUUUCUAGUUUUGUUUAAACAAAUGUGCGAUUCGGAGUGUCUGAAACUUACAUUUCCCAUGCUUAUCAGUCGAUUGUGUUUUAUUAAUGUUUA